GGUAAAGACAGCCUACAGUGAUUCAGCGCCCGCUCCACGUGGGCCCACGCUGCAUCGGACCCCGGACUUUGCAGCCCUGGCCCCGGCCCCUCCCCCAGCUCUCCUUUCGGUCCCAGACCACUUGUCGCCCCUCAAGUCCCCUCUCUCCAUUUCUCUUCAUCUUCCGAUUGCAUUUACACCUUCGGUGCGAGUAUUCACCCAACGCCCUUUCUUUGUUUAGUAGCUCUCCCGACCCCCUGGCCCUCUUGUCCUUUUUUUUUCUUUUUUUCUUUUUUUAGCCCUCUGAGCUCUUGUCCUCAUGGCUUUCUCUUCUUUUGCUCUUUCUCCAUUACUUUUUUCUUUACCCAUCUUCUGUGAGUAAUCACUUCCUCCUCUUUUUGGCAUCUCUUCACCCUCCCUAUUUAAGACUUUAGUCCCACUCACUCUGCCCUUCUCUCUGAGCCCCUUCCUCCCGACCUUUUUCUCCCGGCCUUUUCUUCUCCCUGCUCCCCUCCCCCUAUAUUCCUCCCUUCCCCCAUCCUCAUCUUCAUCUCCCCUUGCCUCCCUCCCCUUCCCCCACUCCUUGUCUUAAAGCAGCCCGAGUUGAGCGCAGAGGAGUUGGGCCUAGAAGAAAAAACCAAAAAGACUUUGAGCAACGGUCGGCCUGAAGGCUUCGGGAAGGGAGCCAAGCGGGAAUCGCACGCUAAGAUUUCUCUGCAAUGCGGGGAUGGCACAAUGGACAGAUUGCAGAUUUUGAAAACAACUAAAAUUCAUUGAAGUUAGGUAACAAAUAAUAUACUUGUAGCUUAGUUUGAGUUUUCUAACAUAUGAUGGGUGCAGGAAAUCAAGACAUACAGGACCUGAAAUUUGAAGGUCAAAUAUUCCUUGAAAAGGGGAAUUUGAAAUCUGCUAAGAUGAAAAGUCCAGGGAAAAAUAGUUUAUGAUAAGUUUGAACACAAACAGUUGCCUUGUCAUCUUUCUGUUCAGUACUCCCUGUAUGCAGCUGCGAUGAUUGAAAAGCAUGUAAAUUAAUUUAAAAUUAAUUUAAAAGUUGCCAACCAGAUUCACUACAACCUUGAAUAAAACCAGCUAUUUUUUCCUCCAUUUAAAAUGUAAUUUCCCCAUUUGGAUUUUAAUGAUUGAUUUGGAAUAGAUUUUCCAUAUCUUUAAACAUGUUUACUUAAACAAGGAAUCUACACAGACUUCUUGCUGUCUGGUGCACUGCUAGCUGUUAAAAUGUCCCUCUUUUUUGCAUAGUGCGUUGGGGGAAAUUCAGGGUAAAAAAGUUCAGAAUACUGCGUGACAAAGUGAAGAGCAGAAAGCAGGACUAAUGACCAUGUUUUCUGGGGCCACAGGCACAGUGAAUGCACGUGAAAUGCUUGCUAUGCUGAGAAGAAACCACUGCUUGUGAAAAGUAGAGACCCUAAACUUACAUAUUUUCACAGCAUGCUUUCUCUAGUCCUUGUCUGAUUAAAUGACAAGGUCAUAUCAGUCAGUAAGUAAUCAGAAAAGGCCUGGGUUUCUAGAGAUUUUCAUUCUUAUAAGGUCUCUUGGCCCAUUUGUGUUUUAAAAUAGAAGGGGUUAAGUUAGGGAGUUACUUUUGGUUCGUUACUGUGCAACUGCAGCAUUGCAGGCUGUGUUGGGGGAGGAUGUUCUAGUUUGCUGAGUGAUGGGUUGUCUCUCAGGCAAGGAGAGCCCCUGUCUCCAGCUGCUGGGAGAGACAGGUGAUAGAGUGAGGGGACUGACUUGGGAAUACUGUAAAAACAGGAUUUUCUGGUUUCGGAUGGAUAAAUGAAAGAAAAGAGAAAGAAAAUUCUCUGCCCUUCUGUAAAGUCCUGCCAGUCUCCAGACUGGACUCGGCAAGACGUCCUCUGCUAGGACGGAAUGCGAAUUAUGUAGUAAUUAUGCCUUAGUUACUUAUUGCUUCCUGCUUUUGUUAAAAGAUAUAAAAGCUCUUGGCAGUUUCACCCUGCAUACAACAUUGAAAACACUUUCUGCAAUGAGAGCGAAUGGUUAAUGGGCAGGCUGCCGCUGUUAGUUUUCUUCAGGGCUUUGAAAAUGAGAUGACUCUGCAGAGAGACAUUUUCGAGGAAACACAUGUCUAACUUCAUAAUUAACCUGUUUUGCCUCGUAUCUAAACUAGCUCAGAAAUUGUUAAGCUUCCAGCUGGUUACAGAAGGAGGAAAGCAUUGCGUACAAACAAAAUAACGGCCAAUUACUCAGGCCAAAUCUAAUUAGUGCCUGUAGCUUAAAUCUGUAACUUCAAUGUCACAUGAAGUAUUGUUCGGUGUGGCUACAGCAGGAUAACCCAGAGAAUUACAACACUUGUCUUAUUAAGGAAAAAAGGUUCCUAUGACUUGAAAAUGAUUGAUCUGGUUCCACAUUUAGCAGAAUGUUUUAUUUUAUAUUAGAAUUUUCACUUUAAUCGCUCUUUCUGAAGGUGACUUGAAGGUUAUGCUUGUCAGGGAAUUUAGUAUAAAAACUUUUAAAAUAAGAGCUAUGGCAUUCAUUUCUCUCUCUUUGUCUCAUACUUUUGGAGAACAUUUACCACACUAAUAUUUUUCAUAGAAAGAAAUGUAAGGUUUUGCAUUUUUUACCCUAAUGACAUGACGGCUACGGACUCUUCUGAAAAUGUUAACAAGAGAGAAAAUAAGCAUGAGGAUUUAUCUGAAUUUACAACACUGUUGAGUUUGGCUAUGAUACUUUUAUAAUUUCUUCCAAAUAGGGAAGUUACACAUAGCAUUUAGAUGUAAGAUAUUUUUAAUGAAAUUCUCUCUGGAUUGUUGUACCAUAAGCUGCAGUGUGUUUUGAAUCACUUCAUGGGGGAAUACAGAGCACGCAUGUGUUCCUUCGGUGGGUAAAGUGCAAGAUUAACUUUGUAGUUGAGAUAGCGAUUUCGAGGUCUUAUCUAGUGAUAAUGGAGAAAAUAUCCUUUGCAUAAGAGGUUUAUUCACUGGGUCAAAAAAUAAGGUUAGAAAGAUAAGGAGUUGGGCAUUUUCUUUCUUCUUUCCGUAUUUCCUUACAUUUUAAAGAACACUUUUUUGAUGCACAAAGAUGUAAGGAGGAUGGGAUGUGGGAACCAGGCAGCAAGAAAGAUGCUCCGGAUGGAAGACACUGCUGUCAAGUUGGUAGGCUGAAUCUGUCUAAGAUUAGAUGAUCUGUCCUUUCUCCCAACGUGCUGUCAUGACUUGAACCUGAUCCUUUUGCUUGGGAUCUGAUUCUAGAACUCAUGAUGAAUGAUUAUUUAUAAAUUGUCCUUUGCUAAUUAUUUAAGAGGUUAUUGUUGUAGAAAGCUAGGGACUAGUGCCCUGGACUGGGAACAUAAAGAAAAUGAAAACUGUAAUACUUAUUUCUACAUGAGCCUUGGGAAGUCAUACUUUGAAAGCAGCUUUGACUUUUGGUCUUUUUGAUUUCGGAUCUUGAAAGCAAAAAAAAUAUCUUCGGGGAGAAAGGCUGUUUCUUGUCAGGAAAAUUGGGACGUACGUGUCCCUGUUGUCUUUAAUCAAAACAAGUCCACCUGAACCACAGUGUCCUUUUUCUAACACUAAGCUCUGAAAUGGUGUUUAUUUCCCUUGCCAAAUAUUUCUGUUCAUUGAAUAUUGCCUUCUAUUUCUGCCAAUGGCUU
This is a long non-coding RNA of Equus asinus (donkey), 3604 nucleotides long. The record is from Ensembl. NCBI's taxonomy places the organism in Eukaryota, Metazoa, Chordata, Mammalia, Perissodactyla, Equidae.